This 541-nucleotide transfer RNA is filed under the name uncultured Prochlorococcus sp. RNAcentral describes it as "16S-23S ribosomal RNA intergenic spacer". The stretch from base 213 to 285 matches the Rfam family "tRNA". Lineage: Bacteria; Bacillati; Cyanobacteriota; Cyanophyceae; Synechococcales; Prochlorococcaceae. The record is from RNAcentral.
CAGGGAGACAACAAAAUGUUUAAUAUUAUUAUUUUGUCACCUUAGGUCGAUCGGUAUCUCACGUUCUUAAUCCUAUUAAGAAUUUCAUUUCCUAAGUUUUUCUAGGUCACACCCAUUAUUUUUCCUGGGCCAUUAGCUCAGGUGGUUAGAGCGCACCCCUGAUAAGGGUGAGGUCCCUGGUUCAAGUCCAGGAUGGCCCAUAUCUCUAUGUUGGGGGUAUAGCUCAGUUGGUAGAGCGCCUGCUUUGCAAGCAGGAUGUCAGCGGUUCGAGUCCGCUUACCUCCACUGAUUACCACCUCUGCCAUAAUUUUUAAAAAGGAAAUAUUUUGAGUUGUGAUCAAAUUCUGAACGAAUCUAGCUUCCUAGUGAAAUCAUUAAGAUGCUGGACUCAUUGAAUUAAUUUCAUUGUUUUCAGAGAACCUUGACAACUGCAUAGAUUAUUUUUAAAGACAAUAAGCAUCUUUAUGAUGCAGAUUUAUUAUUUGUGCGAAUGCAUUAAUAACAAUUCUAUUAAGCUGAUGCUUCAAUUUUGAAGUUAUUG